Molecule: long non-coding RNA, 858 nt
Filed under: Populus trichocarpa (black cottonwood)
Lineage: Eukaryota; Viridiplantae; Streptophyta; Magnoliopsida; Malpighiales; Salicaceae
Description: long non-coding RNA (PTRI_LNC002040)
Source: RNAcentral
GGUUCGUAUGAUGCAACUGGGAGGAUAGCUCUCGAAUUCUCUCAUCCUUUUCAUCCUGACAAGAUAACAAAAAUUGGUUUAGAACUUAGAUAGUAACAACUACCAGCAAUACCAAUACAAUCCAUGAACAACUAUUGCUGAUAAGACAAUGCGUAUAAGAAUAAAUGAGAGGUAUUUAGGACUUCAUAGAAUAAAUGAGAGGUAUAUUGGACUUAUAGCUUAGCAUUACUCUGAUACACAAUGUAUCAGCACUUGAUGUUUAGAAGCAUCUUGUUACAAUAAACAGGGAUGGAAGUGCAAACUUUUCUACAGUAAGCUUUAUUAAAAUCAUGCUAAACUGAAUUUUUUUUAAAAGGGGUCAAAAAAUGAAACCCUCUGAUAUAUUCAUGGUUUGAUGUCAGCUAAAUGAACAUAGCUCCUUAGAGCAAUUUUAGAGUCAAUAACUACGCCAAUCUUUAGAAUAUAUAUAGCGUUUAUUCGGCAACGCUUCAAGGUUUAACGACAACCACUGCCGAUUUCUAUUGGCCACCACAAGUACAAAUAUGUACAAGGGUAGUGAGGGUGCGUGCAUCACAAGGUAUGCAAGAAACACAGACGACACUGCAUUAACAAAAUUGAAGGAACUUACAGUUGUUGGUCGAACUUUUUUUUUGUUUUUAGUUUAACGUGGGUGUCCGGGCCAGCUUGCGCGCAUCUCGACUAAUUUCACGGGCCCUGAAGUUAAUGACCAUAUAAACCUUCAGUGGCCAUCAUAUGAGCAACCACAUGGCUCGAACCUGAGACCACAGAGAGAGCAAACUUCUUGGUUCCAAGUUAUUACCACUGUACCACCACCUAGAUAGUUAGUCGACUUUUUUU